RNAcentral lists this ribosomal RNA (450 nucleotides) under uncultured Glomeromycotina. RNAcentral's name for it is "SSU rRNA". It matches the Rfam family "Eukaryotic small subunit ribosomal RNA", at positions 569 to 1022 of the family's 1831-position model. The record is from RNAcentral. Lineage: Eukaryota; Fungi; Glomeromycota.
AGCAGCCGCGGUAAUUCCAGCUCCAAUAGCGUAUAUUAAAGUUGUUGCAGUUAAAAAGCUCGUAGUUGAAUUUCGGGAUUAGCAAGUUGGUCGUGCCUUCGGUAUGCACUGGCUUUGCUGAUUCCUCCUUCUUGAAGAACUGUAAUGCUAUUAAUUUAGUGUUGCAGGGAAACAGGACUGUUACUUUGAAAAAAUUAGAGUGUUUAAAGCAGGCUAACGCUUGAAUACAUUAGCAUGGAAUAAUGAAAUAGGACGUUCGAUCCUAUUUUGUUGGUUUCUAGGAUUGACGUAAUGAUUAGUAGGGAUAGUUGGGGGCAUUAGUAUUCAAUUGUCAGAGGUGAAAUUCUUGGAUUUUAUUGAAGACUAACUACUGCGAAAGCAUUUGCCAAGGAUGUUUUCAUUAAUCAAGAACGAAAGUUAGGGGAUCGAAGACGAUCAGAUACCGUCGUA